Molecule: ribosomal RNA, 133 nt
Filed under: uncultured bacterium
Lineage: Bacteria
Description: partial 16S ribosomal RNA
Source: RNAcentral
AGGUAACGUCAAGGCAACGGGUAUUAUUCCGUUACGGUUUCCUCCCUACUGAAAGUGCUUUACAACCCGCAGGCCUUCUUCACACACGCGGCAUUGCUGCAUCAGGCUUUCGCCCAUUGUGCAAUAUUCCCCA